RNAcentral lists this small nuclear RNA (162 nucleotides) under Pogona vitticeps (central bearded dragon). RNAcentral describes it as "U1 spliceosomal RNA (ENSPVIG00000010034.1)". It matches the Rfam family "U1 spliceosomal RNA". From Rfam's summary of the family: U1 is a small nuclear RNA (snRNA) component of the spliceosome (involved in pre-mRNA splicing). The record is from RNAcentral. Lineage: Eukaryota; Metazoa; Chordata; Lepidosauria; Squamata; Agamidae.
ACUCAUACCUUGUAGGGGAAAUACAGUACCAUGUUGUAAAAAUGGUUUUCCCAGGGAGUGGCUUAUCCAUUGCACUUUGGGUGUGCUGUGAUUUCCCCAAAUGUGGGGAACUCAACUACAUAAUUUGUGUUUAUGGGGCCAUUAUGUUUGUGAUUUCUCUGU